RNAcentral lists this transfer RNA (88 nucleotides) under Aureoumbra lagunensis. RNAcentral's name for it is "tRNA-Leu". It matches the Rfam family "tRNA". Rfam says of the family: Transfer RNA (tRNA) molecules are approximately 80 nucleotides in length. The record is from RNAcentral. Lineage: Eukaryota; Pelagophyceae; Sarcinochrysidales; Sarcinochrysidaceae.
GCCAAAGUGGUGAAAAUCAGGUAAACACGUUGGGUUUAGAUUCCAAAGCAGUUUUAAAAGCAUGUAGGUUCAAGUCCUAUCUUUGGUA